Molecule: ribosomal RNA, 439 nt
Filed under: Stantonia sp. CCDB-23210-A06
Lineage: Eukaryota; Metazoa; Arthropoda; Insecta; Hymenoptera; Braconidae
Description: partial 16S ribosomal RNA
Source: RNAcentral
UUCUUAUUGAAUUAAAUUUUAAGUAAAAUCUGCUCAAUGAAAAAUAUUUAAAUAGCUGCAGUAACAAUAACUGUACAAAGGUAGCAUAAUAAUUUGUUUUUUAAUUAAAAACUAGAAUGAAAGAUUAAAUGAAAUAUAAACUAUUUCAAUUAAAUUAAAAAUUAAAAUUAUAUUUAAUUUAAAAAAAUUAAAUUUAAUUUAAAGACGAGAAGACCCUAUAGAAUUUUAUAUUUUAUUUUAAUUAAAUUAUUAAAUUUUUUUAAAAUUAUUAAAAUUAAAUAUUUAAUUGGGGCAAUUUAUAAAUUUAAUAAACUUUAUAAUUUACUUACAAAAAUAAUUGAAUCUAAAUAUUUAUCAAAAAUUUUUUAAUAUAAAAUUAAUUACCUUAGGGAUAACAGCAUAAUUUUUUUUAUUAGAUCUUAUAUAAAAAAAAUCUUAU